GACGAACGCUGGCGGCGUGCUUAACACAUGCAAGUCGAACGGAAAGGCCCUGCUUUUGUGGGGUGCUAGUGGCGAACGGGUGAGUAACACGUGAGUAACCUGCCCUUGACUUUGGGAUAACUUCAGGAAACUGGGGCUAAUACCGGAUAGGAGCUCCUGCUGCAUGGUGGGGGUUGGAAAGUUUCGGCGGUUGGGGAUGGACUCGCGGCUUAUCAGCUUGUUGGUGGGGUAGUGGCUUACCAAGGCUUUGACGGGUAGCCGGCCUGAGAGGGUGACCGGCCACAUUGGGACUGAGAUACGGCCCAGACUCCUACGGGAGGCAGCAGUGGGGAAUAUUGCACAAUGGGCGGAAGCCUGAUGCAGCAACGCCGCGUGCGGGAUGACGGCCUUCGGGUUGUAAACCGCUUUCGCCUGUGACGAAGCGUGAGUGACGGUAAUGGGUAAAGAAGCACCGGCUAACUACGUG
Molecule: ribosomal RNA, 466 nt
Filed under: uncultured bacterium
Lineage: Bacteria
Description: partial 16S ribosomal RNA
Rfam family: Bacterial small subunit ribosomal RNA
Source: RNAcentral